Molecule: long non-coding RNA, 447 nt
Filed under: Zalophus californianus (California sea lion)
Lineage: Eukaryota; Metazoa; Chordata; Mammalia; Carnivora; Otariidae
Description: lncRNA (ENSZCAG00015025193.1)
Source: RNAcentral
AUGGCCCAGACCCAAGCGUCCGGACUCCAUCAUUCCAACGCGCUGUGUCCCCAUGCUGUCACUCAGGAGCGCCUGGCCGCCCUGCACUGUCUGUGCUGUAAGUGGUUUGUGGAGGUAAGUGUGCCCUGCUUAGAGCCCCGAGCCCGGGGCUGUGGCGGGGGAGGGGUGCUCCAGGUGAGGCUGUCUCUCCAGCUUCUAGAGUGGUCGCUAGAAAAGGUCCUUGGUGCUCGCUUUUGCAGAGAAGCCUGUCUCGGGAGAACUGGACUGACCAGGUGCAGCUCCACUCCUAGGACAGCUGAGGUGCCUUUCCAAGACCAGAGGGAUGAUUACUACCAGCUGCCCAUCGCCAGAGAGGACAUCCUCUCCUUGGACUCCUGGGACCUGGCCAGGCAUGAGGAGGAGCUCCUGCAGCCCAGCCAGGUGGUCGGUGCGGACCUGGAGUGGUGA